Molecule: ribosomal RNA, 495 nt
Filed under: uncultured bacterium
Lineage: Bacteria
Description: partial 16S ribosomal RNA
Rfam family: Bacterial small subunit ribosomal RNA
Source: RNAcentral
GACGAACGCUGGCGGCGUGCCUAAUACAUGCCAGUAGAACGCUGAAGGAGGAGCUUGCUCUUCUGGAUGAGUUGCGAACGGGUGAGUAACGCGUAGGUAACCUGCCUGGUAGCGGGGGAUAACUAUUGGAAACGAUAGCUAAUACCGCAUAAAAUUGAUUAUUGCAUGAUAGUCAAUUAAAAGGUGCAAUUGCAUCACUACCAGAUGGACCUGCGUUGUAUUAGCUAGUUGGUGAGGUAACGGCUCACCAAGGCAACGAUACAUAGCCGACCUGAGAGGGUGAUCGGCCACACUGGGACUGAGACACGGCCCAGACUCCUACGGGAGGCAGCAGUAGGGAAUCUUCGGCAAUGGACGGAAGUCUGACCGAGCAACGCCGCGUGAGUGAAGAAGGGUUUCGGAUCGUAAAGCUCUGUUGUAAGAGAAGAACGAGUGUGAGAGUGGAAAGUUCACACUGUGACGGUAUCUUACCAGAAAGGGACGGCUAACUACGUG